Phyllostomus discolor (pale spear-nosed bat) is the source of this 119-nucleotide long non-coding RNA. RefSeq lists it as uncharacterized. The transcript is spliced from 2 exons. The record is from RefSeq and is a predicted model, not a curated record. Lineage: Eukaryota; Metazoa; Chordata; Mammalia; Chiroptera; Phyllostomidae.
AAGGUCAAGUGACUGAUGUAUUUGCCCAAAGGUUUGAAUAACAUUUGUAGGACCUGCAAGAAGGUCACAAACUGAACUCAAGCAUGAGGGUGCUCAAAACCUUGCUCCAAAACAAGGAG